Molecule: ribosomal RNA, 305 nt
Filed under: uncultured bacterium
Lineage: Bacteria
Description: bacterial SSU rRNA
Rfam family: Bacterial small subunit ribosomal RNA
Source: RNAcentral
UGUUGCCUACGGGGGGCAGCAGUGGGGAAUAUUGCACAAUGGGGGGAACCCUGAUGCAGCGACGCCGCGUGAGUGAAGAAGUAUUUCGGUAUGUAAAGCUCUAUCAGCAGGGAAGAAAAUGACGGUACCUGACUAAGAAGCCCCGGCUAACUACGUGCCAGCAGCCGCGGUAAUACGUAGGGGGCAAGCGUUAUCCGGAUUUACUGGGUUUAAAGGGUGCGUAGGCGGAUUGAUAAGUUAGAGGUGAAAUGUCCGGGCUCAACUCGGGAACUGCCUCUAAUACUGUUGAUCUAGAGAGUAGAUGG